GAUGAACGCUGGCGGCGUGCCUAAUACAUGCCAGUCGAGCGAACGGACGAGAAGCUUGCUUUUCUGAUGUUAGCGGCGGACGGGUGAGUAACACGUGGAUAACCUACCUAUAAGACUGGGAUAACUUCGGGAAACCGGAGCUAAUACCGGAUAAUAUUUUGAACCGCAUGGUUCAAAAGUGAAAGACGGUCUUGCUGUCACUUAUAGAUGGAUCCGCGCUGCAUUAGCUAGUUGGUAAGGUAACGGCUUACCAAGGCAACGAUGCAUAGCCGACCUGAGAGGGUGAUCGGCCACACUGGAACUGAGACACGGUCCAGACUCCUACGGGAGGCAGCAGUAGGGAAUCUUCCGCAAUGGGCGAAAGCCUGACGGAGCAACGCCGCGUGAGUGAUGAAGGUCUUCGGAUCGUAAAACUCUGUUAUUAGGGAAGAACAUAUGUGUAAGUAACUGUGCACAUCUUGACGGUACCUAAGCAGAAAGCCACGGCUAACUACGG
This 496-nucleotide ribosomal RNA is filed under the name uncultured bacterium. Its description in RNAcentral is "partial 16S ribosomal RNA". It matches the Rfam family "Bacterial small subunit ribosomal RNA", at positions 28 to 506 of the family's 1533-position model. The record is from RNAcentral.